Molecule: unclassified non-coding RNA, 578 nt
Filed under: Hevea brasiliensis (rubber tree)
Lineage: Eukaryota; Viridiplantae; Streptophyta; Magnoliopsida; Malpighiales; Euphorbiaceae
Source: RNAcentral
CUCCCAUGGAGGAUCAGAUCCACGUAGCUCCAGCAUUGCUGUGCGUGUCCUCCACUCAUCAAUAUCAAAAUCAACCAUUUAGAGAUGGAGAAAGAAGUUUAAGGUCCUGGUGACCUUUAUUGCAGCCUUUGCACAUCUAAAUGUAGAUGCUGAUUUACUAAAUCAAUGGCAAGAAGCUCCGAGUCUCGAAUCCUUCAAUCUUUCUCUUCUUUGAUUUCUUACUAAAAACUAAGAGUUGAAGGGGUCAUUUGGCAUUCCAAAGAGAUGGAGGAGGGUCAGAUUUUCUACAGUUUCGUAGAAAAAAAAGUUAUCAAUUUGGUGAGGAAUAGCCAUGGCUCUUCCUCUCUUUUCGUUGGGUUUUCUGUUUCCAGGUGAAAGAAAAUAACACUAUAAAUCUUCCUCAGAGAAGGGAAGGGAUUUGAGGUGCUGGGUAGUCUUGCACUCCAAAAAUUUACCCAAAGAUGAUUUCUUCGUUGCUACUCUCCCCUACCCGUCUCACCCUAUCUCCUCUUCCUCCCAUCCCUUCUAUGUUUUUUUUUCUCCCCCUUUUUCGAUUCUAGACUCUUCUUUUUUUUUUU